UAUCGUUAAUGUCGAGGACGUGAUCAACAUCCUCCUCGUAGUUAUCGUCGGGUCGUCCUCCUCGUCUUCGUCUUCCUCGUCCUCGUCCUCGUCUUCGUCUUCGUCCUCGUCAUCGUCAUCGUCAUCGGUGUCAUUGUCGUUGUCGUCGUAGUCGUUGACGUUAACGUCGGUGACGAUGUCGUUGUAGCUUUAGAGACCUGCUUUCCUUUGUUCUCUGACCAGAGUCCCCCCCUCCUUCUCGUUGCUCGCGUAAAUCUGUGCGGUGGUAGUGCUCCGAAAGAAGUGUAGAAGUGUACCGAGAAUCGAGAGAGACAGAUAGGUUAAGUGGUAACGGUCAGCAGGAGUACGGUCUGAUCUAAAAGAGAAAGAGGGAGUGGGAGAGAGGUAGUACGUGCGUUUUCGAGAAUAGCACGAAUUUUAGCCGCGAAUAUUCGACCGAGUCGCGGACGAGUGCAGGCCCGUAGUUUCGCGUCGCGUGCGCGCUGUCGUUUUGAACUUGGAAAGCAGGUACGAAAGUGAGAGAACGAGAGAAAGAGAGAGAGAGAGAAUAUACGCGUGUAUGAGUGCGUGUGUAUUGAUAUAUAUAUAU
Molecule: long non-coding RNA, 589 nt
Filed under: Polistes fuscatus (common paper wasp)
Lineage: Eukaryota; Metazoa; Arthropoda; Insecta; Hymenoptera; Vespidae
Description: uncharacterized LOC122520646
Source: RNAcentral